CGGGGAGGCGGACGUGGGUCGCGGCCCCCGUUCCGGUUCGGGCGUGGGGUCGAGGAAAGUCCGAGCUCCAUAGGGCAGGGUGCCGGGUAACCCCCGGGCGCCGCAAGGCGACGGACAGGGCCACAGAGAACAGACCGCCGAUGGCCCCGCGCGGGCGGGGCACAGGCAAGGGUGAAACGGUGGGGUAAGAGCCCACCGCGCUUCCGGGCAACCGGAGCGGCACGGCAACCCCCACCCGGAGCAAGGCCAAGUAGGGGGCGAGGCGUGGCCCGCGCCGCGCGAGCCGGCCGGCUCGCACAGCCCCGGGUAGGCCGCUCGAGGCCGUCGGCAACGGCGGCCCCAGAGAGAUGACCCACCUCGAGGCCUCGGCCUCGAGACAGAACUCGGCUUACCCGCCUCCCCGAGGC
RNAcentral lists this RNase P RNA (407 nucleotides) under Gemmatimonadota bacterium. RNAcentral describes it as "Gemmatimonadetes bacterium (sediment metagenome) RNase P RNA component class A". It matches the Rfam family "Bacterial RNase P class A". Rfam says of the family: Ribonuclease P (RNase P) is a ubiquitous endoribonuclease, found in archaea, bacteria and eukarya as well as chloroplasts and mitochondria. Its best characterised activity is the generation of mature 5'-ends of tRNAs by cleaving the 5'-leader elements of precursor-tRNAs. RNAcentral also lists the same sequence under 1 other name. The record is from RNAcentral. Lineage: Bacteria; Pseudomonadati; Gemmatimonadota.